GCAGUCGUGGCCGAGUGGUUAAGGCGAUGGACUUGAAAUCCAUUUGGGGCUCCCCGCACAGGUUCGAAUUCUGUCGGCUGCG
RNAcentral lists this transfer RNA (82 nucleotides) under Dermacentor andersoni. RNAcentral describes it as "transfer RNA serine (anticodon UGA)". It matches the Rfam family "tRNA". From Rfam's summary of the family: Transfer RNA (tRNA) molecules are approximately 80 nucleotides in length. Their secondary structure includes four short double-helical elements and three loops (D, anti-codon, and T loops). The record is from RNAcentral. Lineage: Eukaryota; Metazoa; Arthropoda; Arachnida; Ixodida; Ixodidae.